GGAUUCCGUGAAGGGUCCCGUGAGGGCCUCGGCUGUGGCGGAAGGUCCCGUGAGGGGAUCGGCUGUGGCGGGGGAAUCCCGUGAAGGGUCCCAUGAGGGGCCGGGCUGGGGCCAGGUCGGGGAUUCCGUGAAGGGUCCCGUGAGGGGCUGUCCCGGGACAGGAGAUCCGUGAAGGGUCCCUUGUGGUCCAUGUCGGGUUGGGCUGGGACCGGGGAUCCCGUGAAGGGUCCUUUUUGGGCUUGGGAAUCCCGUGAGUGGUCCGGUGAGGAGGCGAGCUGGGGGCUGGGAGCAGCGGUCCCAUGAGGGGUCAGGUUGAUGUUGGGCGUUCUAUGAGGGGUCUGGUCUGGGACUGGGGCCAUAGGGUCCUGUGACGGUUCCAGAUUAGGGCCGGACUCCCCUCGUAGCUGUUGUGAGGCAGAGCCUGGCCCCUGGUGCUGGAGAUCCGCCCAGAGCCGUCCGUGCCAACACAGUGCCUCCAGUGAUUCCGGUGAUACACUUUUCUUCUGUGGCGUAAUGGAAAACUCUUUGGACAAGGAGGCAGCUCCUUGCAGCUCUACAUUUGCAGGGUCUAAAGAAAUGCUGAGACCUCCAUCAGCUUGGUCAGCACUGACUUUUGUGAGAGUAAAUUGGCUGGAAUCCUGAUGGAUGAACUCUGAAAUAAUUCCAUGAGUUAUGUUGAGCAGGACUACACAGACUCAUCACUGAGAUAAAGAGGCCUGAAGUGCUCAUUGUGUGCGAUGCUCUCCACAGGGACCAUUUCCUUCUUUGGAUCCAUUUGCUUUACGAUGAAUUUG
Molecule: long non-coding RNA, 794 nt
Organism: Hirundo rustica (Barn swallow)
Lineage: Eukaryota; Metazoa; Chordata; Aves; Passeriformes; Hirundinidae
Exons: 3
Source: RefSeq, a predicted model, not a curated record